This 756-nucleotide ribosomal RNA is filed under the name uncultured bacterium. RNAcentral describes it as "bacterial SSU rRNA". It matches the Rfam family "Bacterial small subunit ribosomal RNA", at positions 8 to 796 of the family's 1533-position model. The record is from RNAcentral.
AGAGUUUGAUCAUGGCUCAGAAUCAACGCUGGCGGCGCGCCUAACACAUGCAAGUCGAACGAGAAAGUGGAGCAAUCCAUGAGUAAAGUGGCGUACGGGUGAGUAACACGUGGGUGAUCUACCUCUUAGUGAGGAAUAACCCUGGGAAACCGGGGCUAAUACCGCAUAAGCCUUAGCAGGGAAAGUCGAAAGACGCUGAGAGAGGAGCCCGCGGCCGAUUAGCUAGUUGGUGAGGUAAGAGCCCACCAAGGCAGAGAUCGGUAGCCGGCCUGAGAGGGCACACGGCCACACUGGCACUGAAACACGGGCCAGACUCCUACGGGAGGCAGCAGUGGGGAAUCUUGCACAAUGGGGGAAACCCUGAUGCAGCGACGCCGCGUGAGCGAUGAAGCCCUUCGGGGUGUAAAGCUCUUUCGUCAGGGAAGAUAGUGACGGUACCUGGAGAAGCAGCUGCGGCUAACUACGUGCCAGCAGCCGCGGUAAUACGUAGGCAGCAAGCGUUGUUCGGAGUUACUGGGCGUAAAGGGUGUGUAGGCGGUUCUUUAAGUUUGGUGUGAAAUCUCCCGGCUCAACCGGGAGGGUGCGCCGAAUACUGAGGGACUCGAGUGCGGGAGAGGAAAGUGGAAUUCCUGGUGUAGCGGUGAAAUGCGUAGGUAUCAGGAGGAACACCGGUGGUGUAGACGGCUUUCUGGACCGUAACUGACGCUGAGACACGAAAGCGUGGGUAGCAAACAGGAUUAGAUACCCUAGUAGUCC